GUGGGAGCCAGCCUGCUGGCGAAAGCGGCCUGUCAGGCAACAUUAUUGUCGUUUGACACUGCGCAAUCGCCAGCAGGCUGGCUCCCAC
This 88-nucleotide unclassified non-coding RNA is filed under the name Pseudomonas sp. Z003-0.4C(8344-21). Lineage: Bacteria; Pseudomonadati; Pseudomonadota; Gammaproteobacteria; Pseudomonadales; Pseudomonadaceae. The record is from RNAcentral.